GUUCUGGGCAUAUUUGGCAUGUGGAUCUCUAGUGAUUUAUAUUCUUCUACUUUGGUAACAUGUUUAUUCUACGAUUUACGGCGGUAGAGUGGCACCAAAAUGAAGUUGCCAGUGAAAAGCUCGGGAAAAAUUAUUAUGGUUGAACAGUGUUGCCAAUAGAAACUUCCACCCUUUCUUUAAUAUGAAUCUAACAAAACAAGCACGAUAAACUCAUAUUUAAACAAGAUGCAAGUUUUGGUGAGAAUUGGAAAUAGAAAAG
Molecule: unclassified non-coding RNA, 259 nt
Filed under: Hevea brasiliensis (rubber tree)
Lineage: Eukaryota; Viridiplantae; Streptophyta; Magnoliopsida; Malpighiales; Euphorbiaceae
Source: RNAcentral